RNAcentral lists this ribosomal RNA (802 nucleotides) under uncultured Hypocreales. RNAcentral describes it as "SSU rRNA". It matches the Rfam family "Eukaryotic small subunit ribosomal RNA", at positions 537 to 1343 of the family's 1831-position model. The record is from RNAcentral. Lineage: Eukaryota; Fungi; Ascomycota; Sordariomycetes; Hypocreales.
ACGAGGAACAAUUGGAAGGCCAAGUCUGGUGCCAGCAGCCGCGGUAAUUCCAAGCUCCAAUAGGGUAUAUUAAAGUUGUUGUGGUUAAAAAGCUCGUAGUUGAACCUUGGGCCGGGCUGGCCGGUCCGCCUCACCGCGUGUACUGGUCCGGCCGGGCCUUCCCCUCUGUGGAACCCCAUGCCCUUCACUGGGUGUGGCGGGGAAACAGGACUUUUACUGUGAAAAAAUUAGAGUGCUCCAGGCAGGCCUAUGCUCGAAUACAUUAGCAUGGAAUAAUAGAAUAGGACGUGUGGUUCUAUUUUGUUGGUUUCUAGGACCGCCGUAAUGAUUAAUAGGGACAGUCGGGGGCAUCAGUAUUCAAUUGUCAGAGGUGAAAUUCUUGGAUUUAUUGAAGACUAACUACUGCGAAAGCAUUUGCCAAGGAUGUUUUCAUUAAUCAGGAACGAAAGUUAGGGGAUCGAAGACGAUCAGAUACCGUCGUAGUCUUAACCAUAAACUAUGCCGACUAGGGAUCGGACGGUGUUAUUUUUUGACCCGUUCGGCACCUUACGAGAAAUCAAAGUGCUUGGGCUCCAGGGGGAGUAUGGUCGCAAGGCUGAAACUUAAAGAAAUUGACGGAAGGGCACCACCAGGGGUGGAGCCUGCGGCUUAAUUUGACUCAACACGGGGAAACUCACCAGGUCCAGACACAAUGAGGAUUGACAGAUUGAGAGCUCUUUCUUGAUUUUGUGGGUGGUGGUGCAUGGCCGUUCUUAGUUGGUGGAGUGAUUUGUCUGCUUAAUUGCGAUAACGAACGAGACCU